This is a transfer RNA of Felis catus (domestic cat), 85 nucleotides long. It matches the Rfam family "tRNA". From Rfam's summary of the family: Transfer RNA (tRNA) molecules are approximately 80 nucleotides in length. Their secondary structure includes four short double-helical elements and three loops (D, anti-codon, and T loops). Further hydrogen bonds mediate the characteristic L-shaped molecular structure. tRNAs have two regions of fundamental functional importance: the anti-codon, which is responsible for specific mRNA codon recognition, and the 3' end, to which the tRNAs corresponding amino acid is attached (by aminoacyl-tRNA synthetases). tRNAs cope with the degeneracy of the genetic code in two manners: having more than one tRNA (with a specific anti-codon) for a particular amino acid; and 'wobble' base-pairing, i.e. permitting non-standard base-pairing at the 3rd anti-codon position. The record is from Rfam. Lineage: Eukaryota; Metazoa; Chordata; Mammalia; Carnivora; Felidae.
GCCUGGGUGGCUCAGUCGGUUGAGCGUCCGACUUCAGCUCAGGUCAUGAUCUCCCAGUGUGUGAGUUCGAGCCCCACGUCAGGCU